GACGAACCGUGCGAACGUUAUUCGGAAUCACUGGGCUUAAAGCGCGUGUAGGCGGGCCGGCACGUCGGUCGCUGAAAUCCCCCGGCUCAACCGGGGAAGGGGCGCCGAUACGACCGGCCUGGAGGGGGGUAGGGGGCGCCGGAACUCACGGUGGAGCGGUGAAAUGCGUUGAGAUCGUGAGGAACGCCCGUGGCGAAAGCGGGCGCCUGGACCCCGCCUGACGCUGAGACGCGAAAGCCAGGGGAGCGAACGGG
RNAcentral lists this ribosomal RNA (254 nucleotides) under uncultured bacterium. RNAcentral describes it as "partial 16S ribosomal RNA". It matches the Rfam family "Bacterial small subunit ribosomal RNA", at positions 524 to 776 of the family's 1533-position model. The record is from RNAcentral.